This 1137-nucleotide non-coding RNA is filed under the name Monodelphis domestica (gray short-tailed opossum). RNAcentral describes it as "Eukaryotic small subunit ribosomal RNA". It matches the Rfam family "Eukaryotic small subunit ribosomal RNA", at positions 102 to 1134 of the family's 1831-position model. The record is from Rfam by way of RNAcentral. Lineage: Eukaryota; Metazoa; Chordata; Mammalia; Didelphimorphia; Didelphidae.
AAUCUCUGUUAUUAUUCUCUUCUUUAGCUGAUUGUUAUCUAUGAUCCCCUUUAGUACAUUGAAGAUGUCUGGUUCCUCAGUAAAAAAAAAAAUCCAUUUAUCAAAGGAUGGGUUUGGUAUAACAGGUUAGGAAAGAGGGAACAGGAAGUCCCUAAUCUGUUUUCCACCUAGAGUUUCUUCAGGGGUUGAAGCUCAAAUCUGGGGACUAAGUCCCAGAAGACCUUAAGAUCUUUAGGUAUUCACGAUGAUGUAUUUUCUUGAAACAGAAAUAUAGCUUUUGAAGGAAAUCUUCUGAUGGAGAGGCUAUUGCCUUUCCCAAAGGGAAAAAGUCUCUAUCCAACAACUAUGAAGACAGAUGGUGCAUAAAGACCACGGGUGACGGGGAAUCAGGGUUUGAUUACGGAGAGGGAGCCUGAGAACAUCCAAGGAGGGCAGCAGGCAUGCAAGUUACCCACUCCCGACCCAGGGAGAUAGUGACAAAAAAUAGCAAUACAGGACUCUUUCGAGGCCCUGUAAUUGGAAUGAGUGCACUUUAAAUCCUUUAACGAGGAUCCAUUGGAGGGCAAGUCUGGUGCCAGCAGCCGCGGUAAUUCCAGCUCCAAUAGCGUAUAUUAAAGUUGCUGCAGUUAAAAAGCUCAUAAUUGGAUCUUGGGAUCAAGCUGGUGGUCUGCCGCGAGGUGAGCCACCUCCUGUCCCAGUCCCUGCCUCUCAGCGCCCCCUCGAUGCUCCUGGAUGUCUCACGGGACCCAAAGCAUUUACUUUGAAAAAAUUAGAGUGUUCAAAGCAGGCCUGAGUCAACUGGAUACCCUAGCUAGGAAUAAUGGAAUAGGACCCUGAUUCUAUUUUAUUGAUUUUUGGAACUGGAGCCAUGAUUAAGAGGGAUGGCCACGGGCAUUCAUACUGUGCCACUAGAGGUGAAAUUCUUGGACCGGUGCAAGGCAUACCAGAGUGAAAGCAUUUGCCAAGAAUGUUUUUAUUAAUCAAAAAUGAAAGUUAGAGGUUUGAAGAUGAUCAGAUACCAUCAUAGUUCUUACCACAAACGAUGCCGACUAGCAAUCUGGUGGCAUUAUUCCCAUGACCCACCAGGCAGCUUCCAGGAAACCAAAGUCUUUGGGUUCCGAGGGGAGUUGGUCUCUC